CCGUUGCCGGCGACCGGCGCACGGGUGAGUAACACGUAUGCGACCUGCCCGUAGCAGGGGGAUAAGCGGAAGAAAUUCCGUCUAAUACCGCGUAAUAUCUUUCGGGGGCAUUCCUGAGGGAUUAAAGGAAGCGAUUCCGGCUACGGAUGGGCAUGCGGCGCAUUAGCUAGUCGGCGGGGUAACGGCCCACCGAGGCGACGAUGCGUAGGGGUUCUAAGAGGAAGGUCCCCCACACUGGUACUGAGACACGGACCAGACUCCUACGGAAGGCAGCAG
RNAcentral lists this ribosomal RNA (276 nucleotides) under uncultured bacterium. RNAcentral describes it as "partial 16S ribosomal RNA". It matches the Rfam family "Bacterial small subunit ribosomal RNA", at positions 82 to 354 of the family's 1533-position model. The record is from RNAcentral.